This 380-nucleotide ribosomal RNA is filed under the name uncultured organism. Its description in RNAcentral is "partial 16S ribosomal RNA". It matches the Rfam family "Archaeal small subunit ribosomal RNA", at positions 477 to 851 of the family's 1478-position model. The record is from RNAcentral.
CAGCACCUCAAGUGGUCAGGAGGAUUAUUGGGGCCUAAAGCAUCCGUAGCCGGCUGCACAAGUCUUCGGUUAAAUUCAUAUGCUCAACAUAUGGGGCUGCCGGAGAUACUGUGCAGCUAGGGAGUGGGAGAGGUGGACGGUACUCGAUAGGAACGGGGUUAAAAUCCUUUGAUCUAUUGAUGACCACCUGUGGCGAAGGCGGUCCGCUAGAACACGUCCGACGGUGAGGGAUGAAAGCUCGGGGGAGCAAACCGGAUUAGAUACCCGGGUAGUCCCAGCUGUAAACUAUGCAAACUCAGUGAUGCAUUGGCUUGUGGCCAGUGCAGUGCCGCAGGGAAGCCGUUAAGCUUGCCGCCUGGGAAGUACGUACGCAAAGUAUG